CACGUAGGCACCAAGCGUUGUCCGGAUUUAUUGGGCGUAAAGAGCUCGUAGGCGGUUCAGUAAGUCGGGUGUGAAAACUCAGGGCUCAACCCUGAGCGGCCACCCGAUACUGCUGUGGCUAGAGUCCGGUAGGGGAGCAUGGAAUUCCUGGUGUAGCGGUGAAAUGCGCAGAUAUCAGGAGGAACACCAGUGGCGAAGGCGGUGCUCUGGGCCGGAACUGACGCUGAGGAGCGAAAGCGUGGGGAGCAAACAGG
Molecule: ribosomal RNA, 254 nt
Filed under: uncultured bacterium
Lineage: Bacteria
Description: partial 16S ribosomal RNA
Rfam family: Bacterial small subunit ribosomal RNA
Source: RNAcentral